CAUUUUCUAUUAAGGUAUCUUUACUUUUACUCAAGUAUGACAAUGGGUACUUUCCCCACCACGGAUGUUAUCUCCCUUGCUGUCUUUUGUCCAGAAACAGGCUAUGAAUGGGUGGGCUGCCUGUAAAUGGACUGACCAGGAGAUGACAUGUGUUGGUAAAGUAGGGGUAUAGCUUUAAAACACUGAUUAUGGUUAACGUAGUAAGUUUACUUUCGGUUUUGGAUGCAAUUGUGUGUGACGGAUGUAACCGAACUAUGAUCUUUUUGCUCCGUUAGCCCACUACUAUAUUACUACCUCCAAUGAUUUCCAGUUAACUACUUCAAUGGCAUUCCAGACUAACUCGUCAUUAGUAGCGGAUAAGAUCCCCAAAUGUGGGAAUUACCCCAGAAUAUCUGUAAAUUGCUCUGGUCCUGGAGCUAGCAAGUAAAGGCUCCCCUGAGCCGUCCCGACUACGGUCUGGAGGCGCAGCGGGAAAGGUAACGCAGGUCUCCCUGUGAAGGGCCAGGUCAAUAUUGUGUACUGCAGGCUGAGGAAGCUGAAGGCCCACGGCUUGGAGAGCGCUAGGGAAGGGGCUGUGUUCUGGCCUAACCACUGGAGAGUCCAGCUGUGCCCCUGCGUCAGUUGCAAGAUGGCCUGCUGGAUGAGUCAGACACUGUCCUGGCCUGUGAGAACUGAGGCACUACAGAGCAAGGAACUGCUAGUCUCAGGCCUGGCAUAAGCAGACGGUUGAGUACUCUGGACAGCAUUCAGCAACUGGAGAUUGUUUAACUUAAGGAUGGGGACAAUCUUUUUCAUUUAUUUGUUUGGCAGCUAUUAACUGUAGAUGUAACCUAACACAGGGUUUAUACCAUUUGAUGAAAGUAAAAUGUUGUUUCUUCUAUCUCUGAGUUAAUUGAGAAGGAGACUGAACUGAUGGCUUUCCUACAGCAGAUUGCUGAUGAAGGAAAGGUCAUCACAGCAGAAGUCAUCCACCAAUUAUUUGGGGAGCUGAUGAAGAAGAGGCAACAGAUGAACAGCUGAUGUCAUUCUGCCCCACGGUUUCCUGUUGUUUACUUACUUGUGCAAUUUUGUAAUGUUACUUUGGGUUCAUAGCAAAAGUUCUGUCCACCAAACAACUUCUGAUUUAAAUAGCAGUGCUGCUAUAAAAUAUGCUGUUACUGAGGUUUAUGAAGUUGAAAGUUUAGCCAAAAAAGUUGUUCUCGAAUUGCUCUCCAUGGAUUUCAAAUGGCGUUCCAUGUCUCAUGAGAAGCUGAAGUAGCAUGCUGUUAGCAGGCUUGGAGAGAUGCUGAUGGAAUCUAGUCAUUUUAGUCAUGGACUUACUGUUAUUUGGUCAAUUAUGUCUUAGUUGUCAUUAGAAUUUCAUAAUAAUGUGACACCUGAUGAGGAUGCACUGCCAUUCAUAUUGAAACAGAUCCAGUAUGUGACCAUUUCAUGUUGUCACUAGCAUUCCUGUUAAUUAAACAUUUGAAUAGUUCAUCCAGCAUA
This is a long non-coding RNA of Oncorhynchus kisutch (coho salmon), 1485 nucleotides long. RefSeq lists it as uncharacterized. The transcript is spliced from 3 exons. The record is from RefSeq and is a predicted model, not a curated record. NCBI's taxonomy places the organism in Eukaryota, Metazoa, Chordata, Actinopteri, Salmoniformes, Salmonidae.